This 420-nucleotide ribosomal RNA is filed under the name uncultured archaeon. RNAcentral describes it as "partial 16S ribosomal RNA". It matches the Rfam family "Archaeal small subunit ribosomal RNA", at positions 323 to 746 of the family's 1478-position model. The record is from RNAcentral.
CUACGGGGCGCACCAGCUGAGGAACUUUUACAAUGCUCGAAAGAGUGAUCGAGUGAGCCAGAGUGUUUCUCUUAGAGAAACUUUUGUCUGCUGUAAAAAGGCAGACGAGUAAGGACUGGGCAAGACCGGUGCCAGCCGCCGCGGUAAUACCGGCGGUCCAAGUCGCAUCCACAUUUAUUGGGUCUAAAACAUUCGUAGCUUGUUUUGUAAGUUUCUUGUGAAAUUUCAUGUCUCAAAUAUGAAGCGUGCAAGAAAUACUACAUUACUAGAGACCGGAAGGCGUAAAGAGUACGAUUGAGGUAGCGGUAAAAUGUGUUAAUCUUGAUUGGACUAACAAUGGCGAAGGCACUUUACGGGUACGGAUCUGACAGUGAGGGAUGAAGGCUAGGGGCGCAAAAGGGAUUAGAUACCCGAGUAGUC